Molecule: unclassified non-coding RNA, 232 nt
Filed under: Hevea brasiliensis (rubber tree)
Lineage: Eukaryota; Viridiplantae; Streptophyta; Magnoliopsida; Malpighiales; Euphorbiaceae
Source: RNAcentral
AGACAGAAUGCUCUACAUUGAAACUAAAAGGAUCUUGAAUAUAAACUUUAGGUGAAGGAACAUAUCAAAAGAAAUUAUUGGUUGUGAAGUCAAGUUUGAUCAAAUCCAUUGGGGCACUGUGGAUUGGGUGAAGAAAAAUAUGCAAAUUUGCUAGCCAUGAAACCCAAGAAGAAAAAAUGGAGGCUGAGAGUGAGGUAGAGAAGCAUGAGAAAGGGAUUGAUAGAAUAGCAAG